This 1215-nucleotide unclassified non-coding RNA is filed under the name Schistocerca americana (American grasshopper). RNAcentral's name for it is "protein SERAC1, transcript variant X1". Lineage: Eukaryota; Metazoa; Arthropoda; Insecta; Orthoptera; Acrididae. The record is from RNAcentral.
GCAACGGCGACGGUGCUCCGCCAUCGGCGAUGGCUGGAGAGGCGCGGGCCGCCGAUGCUGACGGCGACGAAUGUGCGACUCCAUGCACUAGAGAACAACAAGCAGCAAAUAUUAGGCUCCACAAAACGAUAUGCACAGUGCUUUCUUUGCAUGCCUAUCGAUUUCUGCGAGUGCAGGUUGUAACAUCGUGUAUUUCAGUGGCUGCUCAAGUUUUGUUGCCACACCUGCUUGCUGCAUGUCGAGCACUACACAACCUGAUUGUUUCAAUCUUAAAGCACCAGCUAUUCUCACUUCCAGCACUUUCUGUCAAAUGUGCAGCUGAUCGUAGGAAAAGAUCUGAAGAAAAUAAUAUUAUGAAGACAGGCAAUGAAGAUAUUCAUAUAGAGGUCCUGUAUGAACCUACAGCAAAUUCUGUUCCACGAGCAGAUAUUAUAUUUAUACACGGACUCCAUGGUGGGCCAAACAAGACAUGGAGACAAGGCAGCUGGAAACAUGAAAGGGCAUACAUUCAGCCCCAGCCAUUAAAGAAGGAAGAUCAUGAGAAUGAGAAGCAAUGGAGAAGUGAUGACUCAAAACAUGAGGACCUAGCAGAUAUGAAAAAAACAUACUCAGCCUGCUGGCCCCGUGACUGGUUGCCACUAGACUGUCCAGGAGUACGUGUGAUAGCAGUUAACUACUCCACAGAUGCAAUGCUUUGGUGCCCUGUUGGAGUUAAACAACCACCACGCACAUCAAUGAUCGAAAGAAGCUGUAAAAUGAUUGAGCUCUUAUGCAGGAUUGGUGUAGGAAAUUACCCAAUUGUAUGGGUAGGCCACUCAAAAGGUGGACUGUUUGUGAAGCAAAUAAUAGUUUAUGCACAAGAAAGUGGCAAAGAAAAUUUAGCUGGCCUGUACCGUAAUACAAGAGGAAUAAUGUUCUACAGUGUGCCUCAUCGUGGAUCUGUCCCUGCCAAGAUAAACUUGCCAUUUCUCAGGCAAUCCAUCGAACUGACAGAAGUACAUAUUGUCAUAAUGUCUUGGAGCUCCAUGAAAAAUUUCUUUCCCUUGUAAAUAGAAAUCUGUUACAAGCUGAAGUCUGCAGUUUCACAGAAACAGUUCAGACAUUUAUGAAGCUUGUUUACUUACAGAUUGUAUCAGUUGAAUCAGCCGAUGCUGGGAUUGGUGAACUGUAUGGUGCUCCUCUAGAUCACACCAGUAUAUGCAAACCUGUUGAUAG